GCCCGGGUGGUGGAAUAGGUAGACACAAGGGACUUAAAAUCCCUCGGCUUAGAGCCAUACGAGUUCAAAUCUCGUCCCGGGUA
This 83-nucleotide transfer RNA is filed under the name Candidatus Blochmannia sayi (nom. nud.). RNAcentral's name for it is "Candidatus Blochmannia sayi tRNA-Leu". It matches the Rfam family "tRNA". From Rfam's summary of the family: Transfer RNA (tRNA) molecules are approximately 80 nucleotides in length. Their secondary structure includes four short double-helical elements and three loops (D, anti-codon, and T loops). The record is from RNAcentral. Lineage: Bacteria; Pseudomonadati; Pseudomonadota; Gammaproteobacteria; Enterobacterales; Enterobacteriaceae.